CUGUGACACACACACACCACACCUGCACCUCUUUCUAUCCACGUGGGUUUACAGACACUUGUGGUCUUAAAAGUGCCAAAACGCUGUGUUUUGCAGAGGCGGCGUCAAGCCAAACAUCUGUAGAAAUGAGUUUUUGUCCCUCCCUUUGUGUUUUUUUGUGUGUGGCGACGUACGGCUCGGAACCACAAAUGUCGACGCGGGCUCCUCGUGGCUCCUCUCUGAUGGAAAGCUUCUAAACGUUUGGCCGAUUCUUGUUGGCUCAUGACUUGAAAGAUGAGAUUCUCGAUUUGUCGUCUUUGGUUUAGGACUGAAAAGAUAAUUAAUAGCCUUGUGAUUGUUUUGAUACCACCCAAAGUGGCUUGUGUGUUGAUGGAACACUUUUGGCUUUUACAAAACAAGCUUCUGCAGCGGAUUUGUCACUGACUUUCUCAGGGUUGAAAAUCCAGCGUGUCGUCGGCUGGUCCUCAGUUCACGUGUCGUGAUAUGUUCGGGACAGCUCAAACGGGAUUCCCAUUUGUGGACAAGCUUCUUUCUCAAACUUGUCAUGGGUUUAAGAUCACAGAAAUGUCCUUCUACCGUGACCAUCAUGUAGCAAUGGGCAUUGCUUCAAUGCUUUUGACGCACAGCUUCUUCAUUUAGGACUGUCAAGAGUAGCUUUUACCGACGUGCGUGGUUUGAGACCUCCGAAGCUCUCCUUUGAUUGGUUGUCUUUGGUUCAUGACUCUGAAAGUGACUUCUAUGACAACCUUCAAGAGCCGCUGAUGGUUGAAGACCACUCAGAGUAGCGUGUAGACAUAUAUCAAUGGUCGUUGGUUUAGGCCGCUGAAACUCGCUUCUGCCUCAGUUGAUAAUAGUUCGAGAGCACAUAAACCGGCUUCUGAUAGAUGGUCUUUCGUCGUGGCUAACACAGCUAGCGUCAUUUUUGGUUUCAAGACAUUUGAAAGCAGCUUUUGAUGGAUGAUCUUUGUUGUCUAUAAAAAGCCCUUUCUGUAUCAGCCGUGUUGGGUUUUAAGACCUUUGAAACUACCUGCUGAUGGAUGGAUAGAUGGAUGGCUUAGGGUUGCUUUAUGACUUUAAAAAGUAGCUUCCAUAUCGACGGCCGCAGCUUUAAGACCUCAGAGACGACAGGAGCUCCUUGCCGAGCGUCUUUUGUUUAUGGAACACAGUAACCGAGCCGACGCGGAUGGUCACGCGGUCUCCUCGUGACGUUAUAGCCGCAACGCUAAUCAAUGAAAGAUUUGGCAGCGUAGCAUUUCUUGCCAUUUCCCUUCAGAAACGUGUCAAUCAAAUCAAUCUGGCGACUCAGUCGGUCAGCUCGUUUCACUCCGCCGUGUUUCUCAUUUGGUUGUCCUUUGAUGUUUUACACUUGUGGAAUGCAGUGACGCACUCCCAGCAGCAGAUCCGUUGAUUACAGGCGGCGGCGGCGGCGGUUGCCCGAGGCGACGGUGAGUAAGAGUCAAGGUUGCUAGGUAGCAGAUAAGAACACAAGAUCUCAUUAAUUGCUUCUCGCGGUGCGGUGCGGUGCAGUGGGCGAGAGUGCAGGAUGGCGGCCGUGGCUGUUGCUGCGGGAUGCCCGCCCGCACGUCAACAAUUUACUCUGCGUGCUUGUUUUGUAAAUUAGCAUGCUUUUUUUUUUCCAUAGCAACAAACUUGGAUUGUGUACAAAUCAUCCGUUUUGUAAUUCAAGGGGUUGGAUCGCACAUUCCGCAUCGGAGGACUCGGAAAAUGAAACACGUGGGGCCACCGGUGAUUUUGCUGACUUGGCGCUCAAAAAUCCCGCAUCAGAGUACGGCAAUUGACUCACUCGUAAGUGUUCAAGUGCUCGCCGGCUGGUGGAAAUGAUCAGGAGAUGCCCUCCCGUGGCUCGUAAUAACGGCACCAAAGCGCCCGCGGGUCCUCCUAGUUCAACGAUGAAAUCGUUCCCAUGAAAAAUACAUCAAAUGCUACAUUUUUUGGGCUCGUAAGCCAGUUUUACUUUGCGAGAUGAAAUUUGGUCGACAUGUCCGCCAUUUCCAGACCCACCAAAAAGUCUCAAGAAAUCCGAAAAGAUACGCCAAGGGUCAUUUCCCCGAAGAAAUUCUGCCAAAGUCAAACAACGACGUCACUUAGCGCAAACGCUAAACCUUUGAAGAGCCACCCUUUCAUUUCAAGAUUGUCCAAUUAAUAAGAUUCUCGCCGUUUAAUUCGGGCGACCGCUUCCCAUCGCCGCCAUCUUAAUAAGGGAGCCUCGUUACUAAUGAGCGCCGCAAUCUUUCUAUGAAUUGCUAAUCCAUUUAUCAGCUAAUCUACACUCGCCACGUAAGCGUCUCAGCCUAAUGAGUGGCUUUUGGUCGUGCUGUCGCCGCGCUCGUGCUUGACGUAUUUUCUCACGCCAGCUCAAGCUAUCGCCCUCGUCCAAACAAUAGUUCACCUUUUUCUUUUCAAAAAUGAUUCUUAUUUAUUUUCCCCAGCAACUACCUUUUCCUCAAUCAUUAAAAAAAAAAGACGUUUUUCUUGUCUUUUUAAUCUGAAUUUAUUCUCACAAUGAUGGUAGAAUAAAUAUUUAUUGGAUUUUUCGACGGCGAAUUUCCAAAGUGUACGCCGUUGGGGCAUUUCAACCCAUUGAGCUCGCAUGUUGACUUAAUGGAAUUUGCGUUAGCCGUUUGUCCAUAAUCCGGAUGGUUUUGCCUUAAUGAGGAUGCAUGGUUAUGACAUUAUAUUCACGCCAUGUGUGUUUGCUUUAAUGAGCCCUAAUUAAGAUCAAUUGUACGUAUGCAUAGUCAUUAUGUGGAUGCCAUUAAUGGAUUAUAUAGUCACGUGCACUGCUAAUCUACUAAUGUGCACAUUAAAGACGCUCGCGGCCAGGAGACGAAAGCAGCAAAGCCGUGCGGCCGUUUUUUCCCACUUGAACCGUCCUCAUGUUGUCGUGCAUGGCUAAAUGUACAAAACUCUAAGAACACUGCCAGGUUGUAUUGUGUCGAAAGCCUUGUACCUCGCCCCCUUUGACAUAACAUUCUCAUUUUUCCCCUUCAUCAAUCCUACAAAUUUGCCGCCAACACGUUAGCCGUGUGCAACGCAAGCAUUUGUCAUUGUUUUUGUUGAUGAAACACUCCUUUGAGUUGCAGUCGCUAUCUCGGCUAGCUUCAUCCUUCGCUAAAAUUGCUCGCUCCGGUGGCUACCUAUCACUGCCAGCUUCCGUCGCAAGCUAUCGUCACUACCUAUCAGCGCUAUCUUCCAUUGCUAGCUUCAGUCGCGAGCGAUUCUGGUUAGUUGUCAUCCGUCGGAUCAGAGCGGAGCCACGGCUAACUGAGCGAGCGCCCGUUUGGUUUCCUACUGACGUUUGGCUGCCGCCUCCACUUGAAAUCUGUGAAUUUUGUACAAAAAGAAAAUGUAGGAAGAUUUUUUCUUUUUUUUUUCUACCGAGCCUGUUGUGUAGCUCUCUGUGUUUUGUUUGGCAGAGUGCGGCGGGAAACGGGGCCUUCAAUUUUCUGUACGCAGUCGGGAAUUGUGCAAUGGCCAAUUGUAAUUUACUGUUAUUAUUCUGAUUAUUAUGAAGAGAAUUAGAGGUGGAGAAGUGAAAUAAAAUGUUAUAUUUGCAUGAUUUCCUGUAUUUUCACCAAUCAGAUUUCUAUACAUAUACACGAGUAAAUAUAUAUAUAUAUAUAUACACGAGCCACACGUACAGUAUAUACGUACUGUCGUGUAUUCUGUAUUCUGACAUACUGUGACUUUUGUCUGUCAAUAUAAAGAUGCACUUUUUCUAAAGUCUCUUUGUAAACUUGUGGCGUGCGGUGUGCAGUGUUUGGCCGGCGGCAAUGGAGACGAGGGCCAACAUCUGGCUUUUGACGCACGAGUCACUGGUGUAAUGCAAAAUUUGACAUUCAUCUUCAAAUCUAAAACCGGAAACUCUGCAAAACCAGCAAAGAACAUGUUGACAAGAUUUGGAUUUUAAGAUUAGAACUUACUGUUUGAUUGCUCUCAAGAAUUUGUCACUUCUUGUAAUAUUGACAAAAAGCAAAAAAUAUCGAUGCUAGCAUCAA
Molecule: long non-coding RNA, 4019 nt
Organism: Syngnathus acus (greater pipefish)
Lineage: Eukaryota; Metazoa; Chordata; Actinopteri; Syngnathiformes; Syngnathidae
Exons: 2
Source: RefSeq, a predicted model, not a curated record